Panthera uncia (snow leopard) is the source of this 658-nucleotide long non-coding RNA. RefSeq lists it as uncharacterized. The record is from RefSeq and is a predicted model, not a curated record. NCBI's taxonomy places the organism in Eukaryota, Metazoa, Chordata, Mammalia, Carnivora, Felidae. The transcript is spliced from 2 exons.
ACACACACACUCUGCUUUGUGACCUCACCGCCCCUGGGUGUGGUCUCCGCACAGCCUCUGCGUGGGGUGCAGACGGACGGCAGGAUGCAUAUUUGUUUCCCCAGCUGGUUCUCCCCUCCAAGGUGCAGAAACCUUUCCCCUCCCUCCCUCCAUGAAGACAACAGCACCCAGUGAGGACUGCAGCAAAUCUGGGGGUAGCAGUCAGGAGCCCCUGAUGGAAGGAAGGCUCUGCCGAGAUAGCAUUCUGGACGGGACUCAGCGUGGCCAGCGUUUCUCAGGAGGCAGAGUGGGCGGAGUCUGGGUUGUGGAGUUUGUAUCUGGGUUCAGGUCCGACUUCCGCCACUUGUGAGCUGGGGCCCCGGACGAGCCCCUCAGCCCUAGGGUGCUGUAACCUUGGGUGGCCCACGGGAAUGAAAAUACCCAUCGCACAGGGGUGCGGUGAGGCAGCGCGCAUAAGGUCCUCAAAACGGUGCAGGCGAGAUGCGCAUUCAUCGUUCGCAUUAGUGCUGCUUGGAGAGGCAGCGUACGUUUCACUUUGCAGAUAGGAACCUAGGCCUUAGAAUCAGGCCUUCACCUGCAUCUGGGGCAGCCACUUCCUAGCGACGUGGCCUCGCGGAAGGCUCAAACUCUCUAAGGGGCCCAAAGAACUUUCCUAGAA